Molecule: ribosomal RNA, 253 nt
Filed under: uncultured bacterium
Lineage: Bacteria
Description: partial 16S ribosomal RNA
Rfam family: Bacterial small subunit ribosomal RNA
Source: RNAcentral
GACGUAGGGCGCGAGCGUUGUCCGGACUUAUUGGGCGUAAAGAGCUCGUAGGCGGCUUGUCGCGUCGACUGUGAAAACCCGCGGCUCAACUGCGGGCCUGCAGCCGAUACGGGCAGGCUAGAGUUCGGUAGGGGAGACUGGAAUUCCUGGUGUAGCGGUGAAAUGCGUGGAUAUCGAGAGGAACACCUGCGGCGAAGGCGGGUUGCUGGGCUGACACUGACGCUGAUGCGCGAAAGCCAGGGGAGCGAACGGG